This 778-nucleotide ribosomal RNA is filed under the name Mycobacterium sp. T1-3_4-13. RNAcentral describes it as "bacterial SSU rRNA". It matches the Rfam family "Bacterial small subunit ribosomal RNA", at positions 87 to 877 of the family's 1533-position model. Lineage: Bacteria; Bacillati; Actinomycetota; Actinomycetes; Mycobacteriales; Mycobacteriaceae. The record is from RNAcentral.
UGGGGUUAGUGGCGAACGGGUGAGUAACACGUGGGUGAUCUGCCCUGCACUUUGGGAUAAGCCUGGGAAACUGGGUCUAAUACCGGAUAGGACUACGCACUGCAUGGUGUGUGGUGGAAAGCUUUUGCGGUGUGGGAUGGGCCCGCGGCCUAUCAGCUUGUUGGUGGGGUGAUGGCCUACCAAGGCGACGACGGGUAGCCGGCCUGAGAGGGUGACCGGCCACACUGGGACUGAGAUACGGCCCAGACUCCUACGGGAGGCAGCAGUGGGGAAUAUUGCACAAUGGGCGCAAGCCUGAUGCAGCGACGCCGCGUGAGGGAUGACGGCCUUCGGGUUGUAAACCUCUUUCGCCAGGGACGAAGCGCAAGUGACGGUACCUGGAGAAGAAGGACCGGCCAACUACGUGCCAGCAGCCGCGGUAAUACGUAGGGUCCGAGCGUUGUCCGGAAUUACUGGGCGUAAAGAGCUCGUAGGUGGUUUGUCGCGUUGUUCGUGAAAACUCACAGCUUAACUGUGGGCGUGCGGGCGAUACGGGCAGACUGGAGUACUGCAGGGGAGACUGGAAUUCCUGGUGUAGCGGUGGAAUGCGCAGAUAUCAGGAGGAACACCGGUGGCGAAGGCGGGUCUCUGGGCAGUAACUGACGCUGAGGAGCGAAAGCGUGGGGAGCGAACAGGAUUAGAUACCCUGGUAGUCCACGCCGUAAACGGUGGGUACUAGGUGUGGGUUUCCUUCCUUGGGAUCCGUGCCGUAGCUAACGCAUUAAGUACCCCGCCUGGG